RNAcentral lists this long non-coding RNA (1073 nucleotides) under Heterocephalus glaber (naked mole-rat). RNAcentral's name for it is "lncRNA (ENSHGLG00000046777.1)". The record is from RNAcentral. Lineage: Eukaryota; Metazoa; Chordata; Mammalia; Rodentia; Bathyergidae.
AGCUACUUUGCUUUGGGAGUGCCGUCUGGCCAGACUAAGGUCUGUUUUACUUUCCAACUUGUCCGGUGUGUUCCUUCCCAGGUGUUCUUCACUGCAGUCAGCUCCUCGGAGCAUUUGGUAAGGCCCUCGGUCUUACGUCAGGGUACUGAACCAGGGCACAGUGACUUUAAUAUCUCAUGAAAUUGGCUCAUCUACAUGAGCAGAAGAUGCUGCAGUCACCUUCGAGGGCUUGGGAUCAACUUCUCAACUCCCCUGCAGGGACAGUUCUACAUGGGCCCUUAUAACAGGACCCCAGCGCCAUCUUUAUGUCCAUAUAAACACUCUCUUCCGGGUAGUUCUGCCUGAGUUUUCAUUCAGACCCAAGCUGUCUUGUCAGUAGGAUACAAUUACGGUAGGGAAAAACUGUAUGUCCUGAAAUAUCACGAUUAUGAAAAACAGCAACAUAAGCUCCCAUUAAGGCAGAAGAAAGUUAAUUGUGUUUCAUGUAGCCUCCCAGGGCCAGCAUGCUGGUGUGGACAUGAUUUACUUCAGCAGAAUACAGCUAAUCUUUGCAGCACAGUACACAUUUUCUCCCUUAAUUACAAAUAAUUAGAUAGUGUAAAUUUAUACUAAUGCCUGAUGCCUGGAAGUACAUGUUCAGAAAUAAAGGGGUAGCCUGGGGGUGGUGAGAUUAUAAACAGGUGUGGCUGUCAUCUGCUGGGAGCUGCUUGCUUGUGACCUUGGAGAGCUGUGAGGUUUCAUUGGUGAGGGUGGGGGCUGCUUCUAGUUAAGAACGGAUGUCAGUGGCAAUUUGUCUAGUCCCUCAGCCAUCUACCACUGUCCUCUUUUAGAUAAAUGGCAAGGAGAUUGAGCGCGUGGAUCUCAUCAGGGCCGGUAACACAGGAAGCAGGCGUGACGAAUAUGCAUGUGACGGAGUGUGGAAAUGAGAGGUGCCCCAGGGUGUGCAGCUGUGGCUCUCUGUGGGCAAGAUUUCGAACUCGGGACCUUGUACUUGCGAGGCAGGCAGCAGAACCUCUGAGCUAAAUCUCCGGCCCCAUGAACUGAAAUUGUAAACCAAAUUAAACCUCUCCUCC